This 306-nucleotide long non-coding RNA is filed under the name Elaeis guineensis (African oil palm). RNAcentral's name for it is "long non-coding RNA (EGUI_LNC080778)". Lineage: Eukaryota; Viridiplantae; Streptophyta; Magnoliopsida; Arecales; Arecaceae. The record is from RNAcentral.
AUGGGAAGGAGAAAGAGAGCAAGACCCACUCAAGGGAAGAUAGAGAGCCUUAGAUGUUGAGGUGGAUCAAUGAGAAAUGGAGUUUUGAGACAAGAAAAGGUUAGGAUCUAGAGGGUUUCAAGUGAGAAAAAAAUUUGAAGCAAAUGGAGCUCAAAUGAAGAAGAUUUGAGGUGGAAGGAGAUGUAGGAUGAUGGAUCUAGGAGAUUUGAGAUGGGUUUGAGAGAUUUGGAGGGAGAAGAGUCCUAGAUCUAGAGGAUUUAAGGUAGAGAAGGAAGCCUUAUAAAAAAAUGGAGAAAAGGGGAGAAG